RNAcentral lists this long non-coding RNA (376 nucleotides) under Sinocyclocheilus grahami. RNAcentral describes it as "lncRNA (ENSSGRG00000019756.1)". The record is from RNAcentral. Lineage: Eukaryota; Metazoa; Chordata; Actinopteri; Cypriniformes; Cyprinidae.
AUAUUGCGACACUCCUAAUUAACACGAUAAUGAUAUUUCAUUAUUUAAAUAUCACGGUUAUCGUCAAUACCGGUAUAUCGCGACACCCCUAACUCAAGUCUCUAAUUCUCACACUGAAGGAAAAAGUUGACAUCCAUGUACGACGAGCUGCUGUCCUCUGUGCUCUGUCCACCUAUCUGCUUGAGGAUGACUCCAGCUUUCUCAAGAUGUGGGAUAACACCAAAUAAUUGCUGCAAUUCUAAGAUAUAUUCAAAACCUGGAACUACAACCUGAAUGACUAUAUAUGGAACGAUCUUCCCACCCCUAUCCGGAAUGCUGAAUCCCUGACAAUUUUCAAGCGACAGCUGAAAACUCAUCUCUUUCGAAGCUACUUGAC